RNAcentral lists this ribosomal RNA (829 nucleotides) under uncultured archaeon. Its description in RNAcentral is "bacterial SSU rRNA". It matches the Rfam family "Archaeal small subunit ribosomal RNA", at positions 24 to 861 of the family's 1478-position model. The record is from RNAcentral.
AUGCCUGUUUUGGGUCCGAUAAGCCUGCGAGUCGAGAGGGUUCGGCCCUCGGCGAACUGCUCAGUAACACGUGGAUAAUCUAACCUUAGGUGGAGCAUAACCUCGGGAAACUGAGAAUAAUACUCCAUAGAUCUUUGAGGCUGGAAUGCGCUUAGAUUGAAAGCUUCGGCGCCUAAGGAUGAGUCUGCGGACUAUCAGGUAGUAGUCAGGGUAAAGACCUGACUAGCCUACGACGGAUACGGGUUGUGAGAGCAAUAACCCGGAGAUGAUAUCUGAGACACGAUAUCAGGCCCUACGGGGCGCAGCAGGCGCGAAAACUUCGCAAUGUGCGAAAGCACGACGAGGGAAUCCCAAGUGCUGGCUCUUUUGAGUCAGCUGUUUUUAUGUCUAAAAAGCAUAGAGAGUAAGAGCUGGGUAAGACGGGUGCCAGCCGCCGCGGUAAUACCUGCAGCUCAAGUGGUGGCCGCUAUUAUUGGGCCUAAAACGUCCGUAGCCGGUUUAUUAAAUGCCUAGGUAAAUUGUGUGGCUUAACCAUACGAAUUCUGGGUAGACUGGUAAACUUGAGACCGGGAGAAGCUAGAGGUACUCCUGGGGUAGAGGUGAAAUUCUGUAAUCCUAGGGGGACGACCAGUGGCGAAGGCGUCUAGCUAGAACGGGUCUGACGGUGAGGGACGAAGCCCUGGGGCGCAAACGGGAUUAGAUACCCCGGUAGUCCAGGGUGUAAACGCUGCUUGCUUGAUGUUAGUCUGGCUCCGAGCCAGAUUAGUGUCGGAGAGAAGUUGUUAAGCAAGCUGCCUGGGAAGUACGGCCGCAAGACUGAAACUUAAGG